UUUUGAUUAUACUGCAUAUGUGACUUUUAAGGAAGCUUAUGCCCUGGGAACUGCAUUAUUGCUUAAUGGUUCGAUGAUUUUGGACCAAAGCAUUUCCAUUUCACGUUGGGAAGCUUAUACAGAUGACAAUAAUUGGAACAGGCAUAACGUUGAAGACAGUAUUACAUGCUCUCAAAUUGCUAUAACAUCUUACGGAUUGGGCGUGUUAAUGCGAUCGGAG
Molecule: long non-coding RNA, 220 nt
Organism: Vicia villosa (hairy vetch)
Lineage: Eukaryota; Viridiplantae; Streptophyta; Magnoliopsida; Fabales; Fabaceae
Exons: 3
Source: RefSeq, a predicted model, not a curated record